RNAcentral lists this ribosomal RNA (429 nucleotides) under Gemmatimonadota bacterium. RNAcentral's name for it is "Gemmatimonadetes bacterium partial 16S ribosomal RNA". It matches the Rfam family "Bacterial small subunit ribosomal RNA", at positions 355 to 776 of the family's 1533-position model. Lineage: Bacteria; Pseudomonadati; Gemmatimonadota. The record is from RNAcentral.
UAGGGAAUCUUCGGCAAUGGACGAAAGUCUGACCGAGCAACGCCGCGUGAGUGAAGAAGGUUUUCGGAUCGUAAAACUCUGUUGUUAGAGAAGAACAAGGACGUUAGUAACUGAACGUCCCCUGACGGUAUCUAACCAGAAAGCCACGGCUAACUACGUGCCAGCAGCCGCGGUAAUACGUAGGUGGCAAGCGUUGUCCGGAUUUAUUGGGCGUAAAGCGAGCGCAGGCGGUUUCUUAAGUCUGCCGUGAAAGCCCCCGGCUCAACCGGGGAAGGUCAUUGGAAACUGGGCGACUUGAGUGCAGAAGAGGAGAGUGGAAGUCCAUGUGUAGCGGUGAAAUGCGUAUAUAUAUGGAGGAAAACCAGUGGCGAAGGCGGCUUUCUGGUCUGUAACUGACGCUGAGGCUCGAAAGCGUGGGGAGUAAACAGG